Molecule: transfer RNA, 79 nt
Filed under: Micromonosporaceae bacterium
Lineage: Bacteria; Bacillati; Actinomycetota; Actinomycetes; Micromonosporales; Micromonosporaceae
Description: tRNA-Ile
Rfam family: tRNA
About the family: Transfer RNA (tRNA) molecules are approximately 80 nucleotides in length.
Source: RNAcentral
GCCUGCGUCGCCCAAUAGGUCAGGUGCGCCGUCCUUAUAAGACGGUCUGGUGCGGGUUCAAGUCCCGCCGCAGGCACAA